GCGGGAAUAGCCCAGUUGGUAGAGCACGACCUUGCCAAGGUCGGUGUCGCGAGUUCGAGUCUCGUGUCCCGCUCCA
RNAcentral lists this transfer RNA (76 nucleotides) under Pseudomonas gingeri. RNAcentral's name for it is "tRNA-Gly". It matches the Rfam family "tRNA". Rfam says of the family: Transfer RNA (tRNA) molecules are approximately 80 nucleotides in length. Their secondary structure includes four short double-helical elements and three loops (D, anti-codon, and T loops). Further hydrogen bonds mediate the characteristic L-shaped molecular structure. tRNAs have two regions of fundamental functional importance: the anti-codon, which is responsible for specific mRNA codon recognition, and the 3' end, to which the tRNAs corresponding amino acid is attached (by aminoacyl-tRNA synthetases). tRNAs cope with the degeneracy of the genetic code in two manners: having more than one tRNA (with a specific anti-codon) for a particular amino acid; and 'wobble' base-pairing, i.e. permitting non-standard base-pairing at the 3rd anti-codon position. Lineage: Bacteria; Pseudomonadati; Pseudomonadota; Gammaproteobacteria; Pseudomonadales; Pseudomonadaceae. The record is from RNAcentral.